RNAcentral lists this ribosomal RNA (253 nucleotides) under uncultured bacterium. Its description in RNAcentral is "partial 16S ribosomal RNA". It matches the Rfam family "Bacterial small subunit ribosomal RNA", at positions 524 to 776 of the family's 1533-position model. The record is from RNAcentral.
GACGAACCGUGCGAACGUUGUUCGGAAUCACUGGGCUUAAAGGGCGCGUAGGCGGGCGAUCAAGUCCGGGGUGAAAUCUUUCGGCUUAACCGGAAAAGUGCCUUGGAUACUGAUCGUCUGGAGGGAGGUAGGGGCAUGUGGAACUUCCGGUGGAGCGGUGAAAUGCGUUGAUAUCGUUUGGAACGCCAAUGGUGAAAACAGGUUGCUGGGGGUGUGCUGACGCUGAGACACGAAAGCCAGGGGAGCAAACGGG